Molecule: transfer RNA, 69 nt
Filed under: Urochela rubra
Lineage: Eukaryota; Metazoa; Arthropoda; Insecta; Hemiptera; Urostylididae
Description: tRNA-Ser
Source: RNAcentral
AAGAGGUUAAAUGAUAAUCAAAGGAGCUGCUAACUACCUUUAAAGCGGUUAAAUUCCGUUACCCUCUUA